UUGGAUAACCGUGGUAAUUCUAGAGCUAAUACAUGCUAAAAAUCCCGACUUCGGAAGGGAUGUAUUUAUUAGAUUAAAAACCAAUGCCCUUCGGGGCUCACUGGUGAUUCAUAAUAACUUCUCGAAUCGCAUGGCCUUGCGCCGGCGAUGGUUCAUUCAAAUUUCUUCCCUAUCAACUUUCGAUGCUAGAGUAGUGUUCUAGCAUGGUUACAACGGGUAACGGAGGGUUAGGGCUCGACCCCGGAGAGGGAGCCUGAGAAACGGCUACCACAUCCAAGGAAGGCAGCAGGCGCGCAAAUUACCCAAUCCCGACUCGGGGAGGUAGUGACGAUAAAUACUGAUACAGGGCUCUUUUGGGUCUUGUAAUUGGAAUGAGUACAAUUUAAAUCCCUUAACGAGGAACAAUUGGAGGGCAAGUCUGGUGCCAGCAGCCGCGGUAAUUCCAGCUCCAAUAGCGUAUAUUAAAGUUGUUGUGGUUAAAAAGCUCGUAGUAGAACCUUGGGCCUGGCUGGCCGGUCCGCCUCACCGCGUGUACUGGUCCGGCCGGGCCUUUCCCUCUGUGGAACCGCAUGUCCUUCACUGGAUGUGCUGGGGAAACAGGACUUUUACUUUGAAAAAAUUAGAGUGCUCCAGGCAGGCCUAUGCUCGAAUACAUUAGCAUGGAAUAAUAAAAUAGGACGUGUGGUUCUAUUUUGUUGGUUUCUAGGACCGCCGUAAUGAUUAAUAGGGACAGUCGGGGGCAUCAGUAUUCAAUUGUCAGAGGUGAAAUUCUUGGAUUUAUUGAAGACUAACUACUGCGAAAGCAUUUGCCAAGGAUGUUUUCAUUUAUCAGGAACGAAAGUUAGGGGAU
RNAcentral lists this ribosomal RNA (850 nucleotides) under Cylindrotrichum submersum. RNAcentral's name for it is "SSU rRNA". It matches the Rfam family "Eukaryotic small subunit ribosomal RNA", at positions 139 to 998 of the family's 1831-position model. The record is from RNAcentral. Lineage: Eukaryota; Fungi; Ascomycota; Sordariomycetes; Glomerellales; Reticulascaceae.